ACCGCGAUAGCUCAGUUGGUCGAGCAUCUGCCUGGUGGGCGGAGUGUCGCCGGUUUGCUUCCGGCUCGCAGCG
This 73-nucleotide transfer RNA is filed under the name Fasciola gigantica. Its description in RNAcentral is "tRNA-Thr". Lineage: Eukaryota; Metazoa; Platyhelminthes; Trematoda; Plagiorchiida; Fasciolidae. The record is from RNAcentral.